UUCAUAACAACAAAUACCUUCAUCCUUAAUCAUUUUAAUAACCAUACAUCAUCAAAUACUUACACAUCACUCAUUAGCAAAAUCAUCACUACAAACAUACAAAAUAACUAAAUCCCUAUACAUGCCAUAACUUAAACGUGUUUCGAUAUAAAAUACCGAGCAGUUGUAGUUGAUAGUGUGGACGAUCUCCGACUUCUUUAGGAUCCUUGAAGUAGCUUUGUAAUACUAUAAGAGAAAGAGAAAUAAAAGAAGUAAGCAUAAAGCUUAGUAAGUUUACUAGCAAAUAAAUAACAAUAUUUAACUUAAAUAAUUAAACUCAAUGUCUAUAUCUCUAGUUUACUCUUUAGUUAAUCUCAUACUAGUUCUCUUACUUGUUUACUUAGAAUAUUUGUGUGCAUAACUUACUCAAUCCUUGCUGCAUCGUUGAACAUCAAUUGAUAGUAUAAUAAGUUCUUAAGUCUUACAACUUACCUGAGCCUACCAUUUAUGCUUUAAACUGAACUUUCAUGAACAUGAUUCGUUUACAAGCCCGUUGAACUACAUUGGAAUAAUAAGGAUACUCGGGUCUCUUCUGAUAAUAACAUGCCAAAGCCAUGUCCCAGACAUGGUCUUACAUGGGAUGUUCUCGUGAUGGUGCCCAUGCCAUGUCCCAGACAUGGUCUUAUAGGGGACCUCUCAUCUCGGUGCCAACGUCAUGUCCCAGACAUGGUCUUACAUGGGACCUCUCGUCUCGGUGCCCAUGCCAUGUCCCAGACAUGGUCUUACAGGGGACCUCUCAUGAUCUUAAGGAUGCCAAUGCCAUGUCCCAGACAUGGUCUUACAUGGGAUCUCUUUACCCAAAUGUCAUGACAUUCGUAUCCAGUACCAUCCUUAUGUAUCAACGAGACUUUUAAAUUUUAAUUCUCUAUCAUUUCAUGCUUGGAUCAUCAUCAAAUAAAUUCAUAAAAUAAAUUCAUAAUUGUUGAAAAUUAACAGCAUUAAUAAUAAAUAUUGAAAUAUUGCAUUUAUUUACCGUAAACUUACCUCGGUACCAAUUAUAGCCAAAUUCACCAACUUAGUCUUCAACUUUAUUCUUCCCUUUGUCUAACCUCGAGUUUCGUACUUCUUGAUCAAUUGAAUUUAGAAGUUUUGAAACCCCUGAACCGUCGCUCUUUCUUUUUCUUCUUUCUCCCUUCUCUGUUUCGUUUUGCUCUCUGUUUCUUUCUUUCUCAUUUCUAUUCUUUCUUUUGUUAUAUAUAUAAUAUAAUAUAAUAUAAAAUAUUAAUA
Molecule: long non-coding RNA, 1266 nt
Filed under: Gossypium barbadense (sea-island cotton)
Lineage: Eukaryota; Viridiplantae; Streptophyta; Magnoliopsida; Malvales; Malvaceae
Description: long non-coding RNA (GBAR_LNC014993)
Source: RNAcentral